AUGGAUCGACGUUUGGGGUGGCUAGAUUCGCGUUUUCGGCUUGCCAUUUACACAGCAGUCACUUCAGAGCCAAUUUGACUAUAGCUUCUGACAUUAUUUCGAAAAACUUAAAGAAUUAAAGUUGUAGAUCUACUUCUUCUCUUUCCGGAACAUCUUGAAUCAUUGAAAUCGGAGUUCGGACGAAGAAGUUAUGGCCAUUUUCCCAAAGGACGUCGGAGCAGAAAAUGUCAUGUUUUUGGGCCAGCGCCGGGGCGCUACUUCUAGUGCUUUUUCCAGCGCCGGGGCGCUACUUCUAGUGCUUUUUCCAGCGCCGGGACGCUAGGGGGCAGACUCCAGCGCCGUUGCCCAGCGCUGGGGCGCUGGGGGAAGGGUUUGGUGCGGCCUGGACGCGUUUUGGGCGAAUUUUGACACCUUUUUGACUCCAAAUAGGAUUGGGUUUGUUCCUAAGCUAAAAAUUGGACUUGUAACCUAUAAAUACAUGAUGUAAUGCAUAAAAUAAGGG
RNAcentral lists this long non-coding RNA (502 nucleotides) under Panax ginseng (ginseng). Its description in RNAcentral is "long non-coding RNA (PGIN_LNC011745)". The record is from RNAcentral. Lineage: Eukaryota; Viridiplantae; Streptophyta; Magnoliopsida; Apiales; Araliaceae.